Molecule: ribosomal RNA, 501 nt
Filed under: Badepigrus pupoides
Lineage: Eukaryota; Metazoa; Mollusca; Gastropoda; Littorinimorpha; Anabathridae
Description: partial 16S ribosomal RNA
Rfam family: Bacterial large subunit ribosomal RNA
Source: RNAcentral
AAACAUGGCUCUUUGUGCGUAGAGAAAUGAAGAGUUGAGCCUGCCCUGUGAAAUAUUUUAACGGCCGCGGUACUUUGACCGUGCGAAGGUAGCAUAAUCAUUUGCCUUAUAAUUGAAGGCUUGUAUGAAUGGUUUGACAAGAAUAAUGCUGUCUCUUAAGAUUUUUAUAGAAUUUAGUUUUUAGGUGAAGACACCUAAAUUUUAUUGAAAGACAAGAAGACCCUAUCGAGCUUGACAUUAUUAUAAUAAAGUUUUUAUAUAAUAUUUUGGUUGGGGCGGCUGAGGAACAAAAAGCUUCCUUAAAUUUAAAAAUAUUAGUAAAUAUUGAUCCAGUAUAUUUGAUUAAUAGAAUUAGUUACCGUAGGGAUAACAGCAUAAUUUUUUUUUAGAGUUCUUAUUGAAAAAAAAGUUUGUGACCUCGAUGUUGGAUUAAGUUUCCUGAAAAUGCAGCAGUUUUCUUUUGGUUAGUCUGUUCGACUAAUAAUAACUUACAUGAUCUGA